Molecule: long non-coding RNA, 470 nt
Filed under: Helianthus annuus (common sunflower)
Lineage: Eukaryota; Viridiplantae; Streptophyta; Magnoliopsida; Asterales; Asteraceae
Description: sRNA HanXRQr2_Chr16g0748641
Source: RNAcentral
UUUAUUUGUAAUAACUAUCUGAUCAAAUGCUAUUUGGUCAGCAGACUGCAAUAAGAUUGAGUGGAAUAUCUGAGAAGGCUUACAUUAGAUCUUAUAACGUGAAGUAGAACAGAAUCAGUGUCAAGUAUGAUUGAAGGUAUAAAGACCAACACAUCAUUAGUAUGCCGUUUUGACACAUUAGUAAGAACGAUGGUGCGAGGAAGAUGAUGUUAAUUCAAAUGUUACAACAUUGCAGUGAGCCUAUUUUUGUAACAAUUCUAGGCCUUUGGCUCAUCAACUUUUAAGUUAUCUCUGCUUUCUUGAUGAUUUCAUUGUUAUUAAACUGUAUCAUCUACCUGUGAUUAUGUAAUCAUAUAAGUUAUUUGACAGAUGAAUGUUGUUACUUCAGCUACGUUCUCAAUCCUGUAUUGGUGAUAAUAGAUGUCCGACCCAAGGAAUUGGGAAUACCCACUAAAGCUUACUAUGUUAUU